This 472-nucleotide ribosomal RNA is filed under the name uncultured bacterium. RNAcentral's name for it is "partial 16S ribosomal RNA". It matches the Rfam family "Bacterial small subunit ribosomal RNA", at positions 28 to 507 of the family's 1533-position model. The record is from RNAcentral.
GACGAACGCUGGCGGCGUGCUUAACACAUGCAAGUCGAACGCUGAAGCUUGGUGCUUGCACUGGGUGGAUGAGUGGCGAACGGGUGAGUAAUACGUGAGUAACCUGCCCUUGACUCUGGGAUAAGCCUGGGAAACUGGGUCUAAUACUGGAUACGACAUGUCACCGCAUGGUGGUGUGUGGAAGGGGUUUUACUGGUUUUGGAUGGGCUCACGGCCUAUCAGCUUGUUGGUGGGGUAAUGGCUCACCAAGGCGACGACGGGUAGCCGGCCUGAGAGGGUGACCGGCCACACUGGGACUGAGACACGGCCCAGACUCCUACGGGAGGCAGCAGUGGGGAAUAUUGCACAAUGGGCGAAAGCCUGAUGCAGCGACGCCGCGUGAGGGAUGACGGCCUUCGGGUUGUAAACCUCUUUCAGCACGGAAGAAGCGAAAGUGACGGUACGUGCAGAAGAAGCGCCGGCUAACUACGUG